CAGGUUAUGUGGAAAAGCCUGUGCUUGGUGGAGAUCUACUGAAGAUGACCACAGCAUCCCAGGUCCCAAGAGGGGACUGUUUUAGUCAUUUUCUACUGGGCAAACUGAAUUACUCCAGAUUAUAGAAAAACCUGUGCUUGUGGAUCUACAUCGGAUGACCAUGGCAACCCAGGUGUGGAAAUAGUAGUUUUUAAUCUGAAAUCUGUGUAAUCUAAGAUGGACAAUUCUUCUGACACCAUAUGAAUGCAUACUGUCAUCUGGCAGAAGCUAGAUAAUUUAGAUUAUAAAGUUAUAUUUUUUUUACACCUGCAUCUCUUUGCUUCAGAAGGCCUUUAUUAAAGGAUUAGUUAACCUCGAAAUGAAAAUUUCCUGAUCAUUUACUUACCAAUGCCAUCCAAGAUGUCCAUGUCUUUUCUUUCUUUAGUGGAAAAGAAAUUAAGUUUGAAGAAAACAUUUCAGGAUUUUUCUCAACACAAUGGACUACACGUCACAAUCCCAGUUGAGGAAUAGGAUCUUCUUUAGCAAAACGAUUGGUCAUUUUCUAAAAAACCCACAAAAACAUUUAUUAGAGUUGGGUCCGAGUCCACCUUUGUCGAGUACGAGUCAAGACCAAGUCCUUAAACUUCAAGUCCGAGUCCAAAAGGGUCUGAGUUGGACUCAAGUCCAGUACUUAAAGGCCGAGUCCAAGUCGAGUCCGCCCGAGUCCAGAAAGUAAUUAAAUUGAAAAAAGAUAAAAAAUUUGUAUUGUAAAUGGUUACUUUCUAUUAAUACUUUAACCCUUCAACCUAUUUAACCAAUGGCAAUAUAAAAAUGUAAUAAAAAUACCUCUAUUGCAUCUUGUCAUUGCCAUUGAACAUUUUUAUUCUAUGUCAACUUGUUUCCUAUCAAAACUGAUUUCAAAGAAAAGAAAGGGAUAUAAAGGUAUCUUCUUUUACCAGAUGUCUUGCAAAUAAAUUCUCUAUGAUUUUCGUAAGCAAAACAAAUUAUUGCUGACUUUGCUAGCCACGCAUUGAUGUGUGUGAUGUGUUUGUCUGCAAGUAUGAUGCGACUGGCUGCUGCCUGCCAGUGUGUUGCAGUAAAAUAACAGGAGGGGAGACGGUCCCGUACAUACUGCCAAUUAAAUUGGGUUGUCACUUCACAUUUUAAUGCUUAAUCCUGUUCUGUACACACACACUUCAGUAAUUUACGGUAUUUACGUACAAAAAAGCCGAGGACCUGGCAACACUGCAAGACCGCGCGCUGUGAAGCAGCCUCACAAAAGAGGGGUACAAUACACAACGUCCGGACGGAGGUUCAUUGCAAAACACAAUGCUGUUAGAUUAUUUUUGUCAAAGCUGUGAGUGAUAAGCACGCGAGACGGCAGAACGUUGCUAUGGUUAUUUCUGUGUCAAUCAUCACAUUUAGGGGAGUGAGUCUUGUUACAGAGUCUCAUACAGACAUGAAACGAACAUUUAGGGGAUUCACUCCCGCAUUUAAAUGCGGUUGUCACUCUCGAAAGUUUGCAGUGUGUACGAGACGAGACAUUAAUUAAUUUCUCAUCUCAAGUUCAUGCUGUUUUUAAUGUUGCACAUGACGUGGACUCGACUGUACUCAGGAUAUUUUCCGAGUCCAAAAUGCCCAAGUCCGUGUCAAGUCCGAGUACAAAUUCACCCAGUGCGUGACAAGUCCGAGUUCAUGCAAAAUUGGACUCGAGUCCGGACUCGAGUCCAAGUUCGAGUACCCCAACUCUAACAUUUAUAUACUUUUUUUUACCACAAUUGUUAAGCUUGUGCUGGUCUGCGACGCGCCAGGCAUUACGUCAUCUCGUUGGAAUUGUCCCCCGUCAUGUCAUUUAUCUAAUAUAUUUAUCUGUGUACUCCAUUUAAAAAGGCAGGGUAGGGCAACAAAUUCCAUCUAAUUUUUCCUCCAAUUUCAACAUCUUUGUUUUUUAAUUUAUUAUUAUUUAAAAUGGUUCCAACGAGAUGAUAUAAUGUGCUGGUCUUCAAUGUGCCAGGCAAGAUGAACAUUUGUGGUUAAAAAGUAUAUAAAUGAUUAUUAUUAUUAUUAUUAUUAUUAUUAUUUUAGAAAAUGGUAGAUCGUUUCAGAUACUGUAAGACCUUAUUUCUCAGGUGCGACUGUGCACAGCCCAUGAAACUGCAUUGAUUUGGACUUCAACAUUUUGGUUGCAAUUGAAGUCCAUUGAGCGGAGAAAAGUCCUGGGGCCUCAUUUAUAAAGCGUGCGUACGCACAGAUUUGAUCGUAAAGUUUGCGUACGCAAAAAUCCACGGCAAAGUGCAUAUUUAUAAAAGCUGUCUUUGACGUGGAAAGUGCUUAGCGCCAUGUCAGGGUCUGAGCAGACGUACGCACUUUUGCUUGUCUGAUUGCUGCAGGUUUUUGGAAAUAUAAGCCAUUCUUGCUGUUUGAAAUUUGGUUUAAACAUUGAGAAGUGCUCUUUUAUAUGUCUGUGACAUUAAUUAGACAUCGUUUAAAGGCGGAGAUCUGAAACUGCUCGGCUGCGCACAAGUUCAAAUUCAUUUGCGAUUUAUAGAUUUGAAAGGGGUACGCGCGUUUUUUGCGCGUACGUUCGGUUUAUGAAUCACACGUACGCAUUUUUUAUAAAUGAUCGUAAGAUCAAAUGUAGGAUGGUUUUUACGCAGCAUUUUAUAAAUGAGGCCCCUGAAAUGUUUCCUCAAUGAAAUGUUUUUAUUUUGCCAGUAAAACAUAGCCUGGUUAGCCAGACCUACAUCAAGAUGUAAGGUCUGGCAACUCUUCACACAAACGGCUCAAUGCAAGGGGCGGGAGAUAAGGUUGUCCCUCAAAAUGCCUCUGCACGCAUUUGGAUAGCGCUAUGACCAAUGAGAACAACGAAGAAGGUGACGUAGUUACCGUAACCAGUCGGCAAAACUCCAAACACAUCUUUCUUGCUUAAAAAGGACUUGAGUAGGGUUAUUUGCUCUUCUCUCAAAGAAAAACGUCCUCCAGAGUCGCGGCCAAAGCCGCUUCAAAAGAAAGCUGUUCGCCAGCAGCAGCAGCCAUUCGUUGCAGCUCUGUCGUCAUCAUGUUAAGCCCGCCCCACAGACGCUACACACGAUGUGAUUGGCCUGACCAAAUUUUGGUUUUUGGAGCUGUUAACUGUAUUGUGAGUGCCUAGACUAAACCCUGGCAGCAAAUAUAUUUUGCGGCCGCUAGGGUGCGUCUAGAUUUCUAGGCUAAGUAAAACAUUUUAUUUGACACAAUUAUUUUAUUAAUUAUCAUAAUGUAGCUAUUUUUUAUGCUUUGCUUGUAUUUCUACUGUCCAAUUAACAUUAAAUACUGUUUAGAAUUGACCAAAAUGACUGUUCUGUUUUAAAGGAGGUACCCUAUACAUUCUUAUAGUUUUUAUUUUAAUGCAAGAAAUAACAUUUCUUAGUUACUAUACAUGAGAUUGGCUAUAUUUUAACACAAAAUUAAUGUUGGUAGACAUGGCUGUUUUAUAUAACGACAACUAAAUACCUUAAAGCUCUACUGUGUACUUUAUUGAGUUAAUUCUUAACAAAAACCCAUGUUUUCUUUCAAAAGUAUGUGCUCAUUCAUGUGUAAUUACUUCCCACCCACUAAUCAAAGUAUUCUCGUAAGUGUAGAAUCUGCUAUUUAAAAUGCAUACCGUCGAAGCGCUCUCUGGCUGAAUCCAUGUUGUGCCUCCAUCUUUGAAAUACAUUCGCCGACGAGGGACAUUCCUGAAAUUCAAGCUCCGCCUUUCGCGCUUUCACUCUACACUCACGCUGCCCGAUAGCUGAAGCCUCCAGAGGUUGCAUGUGUAGGCGCUAUACGUCAUCAAGACAGUCUUAUUUCAGAAUAUUAACAAUUAUAAAGCUGACAAUUAUUCUUAGUUAAUUGUAAGUUGAUGUAAUAUGCGUAUGACUUGCGAAUGUAAUGCUCAGUUAAUUUAAAUAAACCAGGCUUGAUGACGUAUCCAGCUUGUGACCUGCGUAGCUGAAUCCUUCGGAUUUUACAACAACCGCACACCGUGAUGAACCUGCGAUCUAAUGCUUUGAUUUGAAAGCCUGUUGAAGACAUAUUCUCGAGGACAUUAAAACAAAUCGCCAAGGAUGCGAAACGGGGAUUUUAAACGACAACGUGAAAGGAAAAACAUCAAGACCAAAGUCACUAUUGGAGUUAGUUUUCCAAGAUGGGGCUCAAGGGACACUGAAGUUGCACUUUCUAUAUUCUCCACAGGUAAUUCAGCAUAUUCGUUUACAUCUAUACAGUCCAUGUUGUAAACUUAAGGUUUUAUAGUUCUUUGGCUAACUUUAGCAUGAUUAUGCAUAACACUUGUUAGUGUAAACAUGCAUGUGGUUUAACGUGUUCGUACAGACACACGCCGUCUCUCCGCCCAUUUAUGUAAUCUGAGGUACUGAGAUAAAGUUUUUCAUCUUUUCUGAAGUCUAGCACAAACACACGGUGACAGCGCUAUUUUUAGCCUUUCAUUGAUAAAAGCGUCUGAUCUGCGCGUCUUUCGUUUCAUUUUACAAGCGUGUGAAUGUUGCGCGAUCUUUUUUCACCAAUAUGAGAGAAAGCUCUUACAUAUACAC
Non-coding RNA from Paramisgurnus dabryanus, 4550 nucleotides. The record is from RefSeq and is a predicted model, not a curated record. NCBI's taxonomy places the organism in Eukaryota, Metazoa, Chordata, Actinopteri, Cypriniformes, Cobitidae.